GCGAACGCUGGCGGCAGGCCUAACACAUGCAAGUCGAACGAACCUUCGGGUUAGUGGCGGACGGGUGAGUAACACGUGGGAACGUGCCUUUUGGUUCGGAACAACUCAGGGAAACUUGAGCUAAUACCGAAUGUGCCCUUCGGGGGAAAGAUUUAUCGCCAUUAGAGCGGCCCGCGUCUGAUUAGCUUGUUGGUGAGGUAAAGGCUCACCAAGGCUACGAUCAGUAGCUGGUCUGAGAGGAUGAUCAGCCACAUUGGGACUGAGACACGGCCCAAACUCCUACGGGAGGCAGCAGUGGGGAAUCUUGCGCAAUGGGCGAAAGCCUGACGCAGCCAUGCCGCGUGAAUGAUGAAGGUCUUAGGAUUGUAAAGUUCUGUUAUCGGGAAAGAACACCAUCAUCAGGAAAUGGGUGAUGGCUGACGGUACCCGAUUAGAAAGCCCCGGCUAACUACGU
RNAcentral lists this ribosomal RNA (454 nucleotides) under uncultured bacterium. Its description in RNAcentral is "bacterial SSU rRNA". It matches the Rfam family "Bacterial small subunit ribosomal RNA", at positions 29 to 506 of the family's 1533-position model. The record is from RNAcentral.